UACAGAGGUCUCAAGCGUUGUUCGGAUUCAUUGGGCGUAAAGGGUGUGUAGGUGGCUUGCUCAGUCAGACGUGAAAUCCCUCAGCUUAACUGGGGAACUGCGUCUGAUACUAGCGAGCUUGAGUGCAGGAGAGGAACGCGGAAUUCCAGGUGUAGCGGUGAAAUGCGUAGAUAUCUGGAGGAACGCCGGUGGCGAAGGCGGCGUUCUGGACUGCAACUGACACUGAAAAACGAAAGCCAGGGGAGCAAACGGG
RNAcentral lists this ribosomal RNA (253 nucleotides) under uncultured bacterium. RNAcentral describes it as "partial 16S ribosomal RNA". It matches the Rfam family "Bacterial small subunit ribosomal RNA", at positions 524 to 776 of the family's 1533-position model. The record is from RNAcentral.